Molecule: ribosomal RNA, 452 nt
Filed under: Neisseria pharyngis
Lineage: Bacteria; Pseudomonadati; Pseudomonadota; Betaproteobacteria; Neisseriales; Neisseriaceae
Description: bacterial SSU rRNA
Rfam family: Bacterial small subunit ribosomal RNA
Source: RNAcentral
AUUGAACGCUGGCGGCAUGCUUUACACAUGCAAGUCGGACGGCAGCACAGAGAAGCUUGCUUCUUGGGUGGCGAGUGGCGAACGGGUGAGUAACAUAUCGGAACGUACCGAGCAGUGGGGGAUAACUAAUCGAAAGAUUAGCUAAUACCGCAUAUAUUCUGAGGAAGAAAGCAGGGGACCAUUUGGCCUUGCGCUGUUUGAGCGGCCGAUAUCUGAUUAGCUAGUUGGUGGGGUAAAGGCCUACCAAGGCGACGAUCAGUAGCGGGUCUGAGAGGAUGAUCCGCCACACUGGGACUGAGACACGGCCCAGACUCCUACGGGAGGCAGCAGUGGGGAAUUUUGGACAAUGGGCGCAAGCCUGAUCCAGCCAUGCCGCGUGUCUGAAGAAGGGCUUCGGGUUGUAAAGGACUUUUGUCAGGGAAGAAAAGGAUAGGGUUAAUACCCCUGUCUGA